Molecule: non-coding RNA, 147 nt
Filed under: Protocruzia adhaerens
Lineage: Eukaryota; Ciliophora; Spirotrichea
Source: RNAcentral
ACAAAGGGAAAAACACAAAUAACAAAAUGAAGAGAAAAAUAGCAAUAGCUCGAUGAAGAAGAUUUUUCAGGCAGUCUAUUCUGCUUUUCGUUCCUUUGUAAUCCCUUUCUCGGUCGCAAAAAUAGGAGGAAUCUUUUGAUAAGACCA